UACCUACGGGGGGCAGCAGUGGGGGAUAUUGCACAAUGGGGGAAACCCUGAUGCAGCGACGCCGCGUGAGUGAAGAAGUAUUUCGGUAUGUAAAGCUCUAUCAGCAGGGAAGAAAAAAGACGGUACCUGACUAAGAAGCCCCGGCUAACUACGUGCCAGCAGCCGCGGUAAUACGGAGGAUGCGAGCGUUAUCCGGAUUUAUUGGGUUUAAAGGGUGCGCAGGCGGGAGAUCAAGUCAGCGGUAAAAUGUCGGGGCUCAACCCCGGCCGGCCGUUGAAACUGGUUUUCU
Molecule: ribosomal RNA, 289 nt
Filed under: uncultured bacterium
Lineage: Bacteria
Description: partial 16S ribosomal RNA
Rfam family: Bacterial small subunit ribosomal RNA
Source: RNAcentral